This 468-nucleotide ribosomal RNA is filed under the name uncultured bacterium. Its description in RNAcentral is "partial 16S ribosomal RNA". It matches the Rfam family "Bacterial small subunit ribosomal RNA", at positions 28 to 507 of the family's 1533-position model. The record is from RNAcentral.
GACGAACGCUGGCGGCGUGCUUAACACAUGCAAGUCGAACGGAAAGACCCUGAUACUGUGGCGUGCUCGAGUGUCGAACGGCUGAGUAACACGAGAGUGACCUGCCACGGAUUUUCAGAUAACUUCAUGAAACUGGAUAUCAUCGCGGAACGGAGCUCCUGCUCCAUUGAGGGGUUUGGAAAGUUUCGGCAGUAGGGGAUGGACUCGCGGCUUAUCAGCUUGCUGGUGGGGUAGUGGCUUGCUAGGGCGGUGACGGGUAGCCGGCCUGAGAGGGUGGACUGACACAUCGGAAUGGAGAUACGGCCCAGACUACUACGGGAGGCAGCGGUGGGGAAUAGUGUACAGCGGGAGGAAGCCUGAUGCAGCAACGCCGCGUGCGGGAUGACGGCCUUCGGGUUGUAAACCGCUGUCGCGUGUGACGAAGCGAGAGUGACGGUAAUGGGUAAAGAAGCACCGGCUAACUACGUG